UGGGGAAUAUUGCACAAUGGACGAAAGUUUGAUGCAGCGACGCCGCGUGGAGGGUGUAGGCCUUCGGGUUGUGAACUCCUUUUUCUCGCGAAAAAGGCACAGUUUUGGCUGUGUUGAUGGUAGUGGGGGAAGAAGCGCCGGCUAACUACGUGCCAGCAGCCGCGGUAAUACGUAGGGCGCGAGCGUUGUCCGGAUUUAUUGGGCGUAAAGAGCUUGUAGGCGGUUCGUCGCGUCUGGUGUGAAAGCCCAUCGCUUAACGGUGGGUUUGCGCCGGGUACGGGCGGGCUAGAGUGCAGUAGGGGAGACUGGAAUUCCCGGUGUAACGGUGGAAUGUGUAGAUAUCGGGAAGAACACCAAUGGCGAAGGCAGGUCUCUGGGCUGUUACUGACGCUGAGAAGCGAAAGCGUGGGGAGCGAACAGG
This 421-nucleotide ribosomal RNA is filed under the name Verrucomicrobiota bacterium. RNAcentral describes it as "Verrucomicrobia bacterium partial 16S ribosomal RNA". It matches the Rfam family "Bacterial small subunit ribosomal RNA", at positions 355 to 776 of the family's 1533-position model. The record is from RNAcentral. Lineage: Bacteria; Pseudomonadati; Verrucomicrobiota.